UGAAGUAAGUAAGGGCGUACGGUGAAUGCCUUGGUGCCAACAGGCGAAGAAGGACGCGGCAAGCUGCGAAAAUCCUCGGGAAGCUGCAAGCAAGCGAUGAUCCGGGGGUAUCCGAAUGGGGUAACCUGAUCGAGGCAAUACUCGAUCGUUCAUACCUGAAUACAUAGGGUAUGAAACGCGAAACCCGCUGAAGUGAAACAUCUCAGUAAGCGGAGGAAAAGAAAGAGAAAUCGAUUCCGUAAGUAGUGGCGAGCGAAAGCGGAUGGAGCCCAAACCGAAGGUACUCCUUCGGGGUUGUAGGACCACGAGAUAUUCGACCAUACUGGAUAGUAGAACAGCCUGGAAAGGCUGGCCGUAGAAGGUGAAAGCCCUGUAGACGAAAUCCAGCGUGGGAAUUAGUGGAAUCCUGAGUAAUACAUCACACGUGGAACGAUGUAUGAAUCAGCGCGGACCACCGCGCAAGGCUAAAUACUAGUUGGCGACCGAUAGUGAACAAGUACCGCGAGGGAAAGGUGAAAAGAACCGCUGUGAGCGGAGUGAAAUAGAACCUGAAACCGUAUGUCUACAAAGUGUCAGAGCAGAGCAAUCUGCGAUGGCGUGCCUUUUGUUUAAUGAGUCUGCGAGUCAGUGUUUGUGGCAAGACUAAGGGCUUCCGGCCCGGAGUCGCAGCGAAAGCAAGUCCGAAUAGGGCGAAUUAAGUCGCAGGUACUGGACCCGAAGCGGAGGUGACCUACCCUUGGCCAGGUUGAAGCAUGGGUAAAACCAUGUGGAGGACCGAACAGGUGAACGUUGAAAAGUUCUCUGAUGAGCUGAGGGUAGGAGUGAAAGGCUAAUCAAACCCCGUGAUAGCUGGUUCUCUUCGAAAUGCAUUUAGGUGCAGCGUCACGUGCUGAUGCGCGGGGGUAGAGCACUGACAAGGCUAGGGGGCACACCCGCUUACCAAACCUUAUCAAACUCCGAAUACCGUGCAAUGGAACGUGGCAGUGAGACAGUGGGGGAUAAGCUUCAUUGUCGAGAGGGAAACAACCCAGACCAGCAGCUAAGGUGCCUAAAUAACGCUCAGUGGAAAGGAUGUGGGAUUACACAGACAGUGAGGAUGUUGGCUUAGAAGCAGCCACCAUUUAAAAAAUGCGUAAUAGCUUACUCAUCGAGUGAUCCUGCGCCGAAAAUGAUUGGCGAUCAAGCGUUAUACCGAAGCUCUGGACUUUACCUUACGGUAGAGUGGUAGAAGAGCGUUGCAUGCGCGUUGAAGGGUGAUGGCGACUGACCCUGGAGCACAUGCAAGUGAGUAUGCAGACAUGAGUAACGUAAAGCCGGGUGAAAUCCCCGGCCGCCGUAAACCCGAGGUUUCCAGGGCAACGUGUUUCGUCCCUGGGUUAGCCGGGACCUAAGCCGAGGCCGAGAGGCGUAGGCGAUGGAUAUCAGGUUAAUAAUCCUGAGCUCGCGACCCUUAAACUGGGGGGACGCAUGAGAAAAGAUGACUAGGUUAUUGAAUUCCGAGUUGAGUCCACGGACUCAGCGCAUCAUUGGAUCGAGUGCCAAGAAAAGCCCCAGCGUAUGCUAAGCGACCCGUACCGCAAACCGACACAGGUGGGUGGGUAGAAUAUACCAAGGCGUAAGAGUGAAACCUGGUUAAGGAACUCGGCAAAUUAGCCCCGUAACUUCGGAAGAAGGGGUGCCUGCAGCGAUGCAGGCCGCAGAGAAAUGGCCCAACCGACUGUUUAUCAAAAACACAGCACUCUGCAAAGACGCAAGUCGAAGUAUAGGGUGUGACACGUGACCAAUGCCGAAAGAUUAAGGCAAGGGGUUAGCCGCAAGGCGAAGCUCUGAACCCAAGUCCCGGUGAAUGUCGGCCGUAACUAUAACGGUCCUAAGGUAGCGAAAUUCCUUGUCGGGUAAGUUCCG
RNAcentral lists this ribosomal RNA (1905 nucleotides) under human gut metagenome. Its description in RNAcentral is "bacterial LSU rRNA". It matches the Rfam family "Bacterial large subunit ribosomal RNA", at positions 1 to 1985 of the family's 2925-position model. The record is from RNAcentral.